UGGAGAUCCCCUCUGCUACAGUUUCAUAAGCAAGUCCAGGAUAUGGGGUUGCAUGUGUACUCAGAAUGAUAGCCCAGGGUGGAAGGGACCCUGAAAGACCAUCAGCUCCAGCUCUUUGUGGAAAAAAGUGUGCCAUCUGAAAUGCCCUGUCCCAUAGCACCUCAAAAGUCUCCAGGGAUGGGGAUUCCACCAUGGCCCUGCAGAGCCUGCUCCAGGGAUUAAUUGUUCUCCCUGUCAAACUACUUCUCUCUUACCUCAAGAUGUAACCUCUCUCAGUGCAGCCUGCAUCUGCUGCUGCUUCACUUCUCCACCUGCCUCCUAGUGAAGAAGUGUGUUUGAUUCCUGACCACCCUUAACUACUAAAAUCUGAGCUGUACCCUUAACUACUUAAAACUGAGCUGUACGUAGAAAUUGGAAGAAGUCUCCCUUAACCAACACUGAGUGGAACUAAGGUUGUUACAGCUUCAGACUAAGGCAGCAUAUGAGCACUGCGUCUACCAAACUAGUAUUUUGUUAUUGCAAUAUAAAAUAUCAGAAGAAACAUCACGUGGCUCACCACUAGUCACAAACCCAUGUAACAUCCCACAGGAAGCUAUGAAUUGUUUGUCAGUUCAUCUCAAUCAAAAUUGUCCAUUGAGGGGAAAAAAACCACACAAUUAGAUGAUCAAGUUUAAAGAAUGUACCUCUUUAAGAAUAAACAUUCAGAAAGUAAAACAUCUACAAAGUGGACAGAGAAUAGGAACAGAGACAGAUCAAAUAUUGAAACUAUCAGCAUAGGAGUGUCAUUUUCUUCCCAAAAAUAGCAGAGAAGUAAUGGGAUGUUAAAUAGCAAUGGCACAACUCACUGCAGGAUACUGUCCUGCUAUCUUAAGUACUUGCAAAAAGAGCUGUACAAAACAAACAAACAAACCCAUCUAAUCAGAUUUUAAAUGAAUUAACCUAUUUCUAGUUUUGAGUAAAACAGAGGUGUGCCAUUGGAAACAUCUAAAAUUGAUAUCCAGUUAAUUUUAGUAGAUUAGAGCCUCUUCUUCAAUGACUUCCUAUUCA
Phasianus colchicus (ring-necked pheasant) is the source of this 1047-nucleotide non-coding RNA. NCBI's taxonomy places the organism in Eukaryota, Metazoa, Chordata, Aves, Galliformes, Phasianidae. The record is from RefSeq and is a predicted model, not a curated record.